UAUAGGUUUGGUCCCAGCCUUCCUGUUAACUUUCAAUAGACUUAUACAUGCAAGCAUCCACGCCCCGGUGAGUAACGCCCUUCGAAUCACACAGGACUAAAAGGAGCAGGUAUCAAGCACACACUCUUGUAGCUCACAACGCCUUGCUUAACCACACCCCCACGGGAGACAGCAGUAACAAAAAUUAAGCCAUAAACGAAAGUUUGACUAAGCCAUAUUGACUAGGGUUGGUAAAUCUCGUGCCAGCCACCGCGGUCAUACGAUUGACCCAAGCUAACAGGAGUACGGCGUAAAGCGUGUUAAAGCAUCAUACUAAAUAGAGUUAAAUUUUAAUUAAACUGUAAAAAGCCAUAAUUAUAACAAAAAUAAAUGACGAAAGUAACCCUACAAUAGCUGAUACACCAUAGCUAAGACCCAAACUGGGAUUAGAUACCCCACUUCCCUUAGCCCUAAACACAAAUAAUUAU
This 467-nucleotide ribosomal RNA is filed under the name Ovis aries (sheep). Its description in RNAcentral is "partial 12S ribosomal RNA". Lineage: Eukaryota; Metazoa; Chordata; Mammalia; Artiodactyla; Bovidae. The record is from RNAcentral.